Molecule: ribosomal RNA, 459 nt
Filed under: uncultured bacterium
Lineage: Bacteria
Description: SSU rRNA
Rfam family: Bacterial small subunit ribosomal RNA
Source: RNAcentral
AGAAUCAACGCUGGCGGCGUGCCUAACACAUGCAAGUCGCACGAGAAAGGGGAGCAAUCCCUGAGUACAGUGGCGCACGGGUGAGUAACACGUGAAUAAUCUACCUCCGAGUGGGGAAUAACUGAGAGAAAUCUUAGCUAAUACCGCAUAACACUUACGAGUCAAAGCAGCAAUGUGCUUGGAGAGGAGUUCGCGGCAGAUUAGUUAGUUGGCGGGGUAAUGGCCACCAAGACGAUGAUCUGUAUCCGGCCUGAGAGGGCGCACGGACACACUGGAACUGAAACACGGUCCAGACUCCUACGGGAGGCAGCAGUGGGGAAUUUUGCGCAAUGGGGGAAACCCUGACGCAGCAACGCCGCGUGGAGGAUGAAGCCCCUUGGGGUGUAAACUCCUUUCGAUCGGGAAGAUAAUGACGGUACCGAUAUAAGAAGCCCCGGCUAACUUCGCGCCAGCAGCCGC